This 333-nucleotide long non-coding RNA is filed under the name Ailuropoda melanoleuca (giant panda). RNAcentral describes it as "lncRNA (ENSAMEG00000024367.1)". Lineage: Eukaryota; Metazoa; Chordata; Mammalia; Carnivora; Ursidae. The record is from RNAcentral.
CAGACACUUGGAGAGGCAGUAGGAUGGUGACGUCUGCUGCCUCUCGGAGUGACAGGAUCAUGAGAACUGACUCGGUCACCUCAGGCUUACAUAGUUUUUCCAUUUUCCCUCUGAUCAGCAUUUCCCUCCCUGUUUCCGCACUCCUCUGAAUCACUUUUUCCCCCUUUCAUACUUUACUCACACUUUACACUUCUUACCCCAAGAAGAGCGAAGACUAGUAGAAUCUUACUCUCUUGUCCCAUUGAAUUUAGACUGAAUGCAGACAAAAAGAGGAGUCUGUGAAUCUGAUUUCUAUUCUAGGCAGCAGCAAAAAUGCGAACUGCUCUCCGCGGC